This is a long non-coding RNA of Cygnus olor (mute swan), 568 nucleotides long. RefSeq lists it as uncharacterized. The transcript has 2 exons. Lineage: Eukaryota; Metazoa; Chordata; Aves; Anseriformes; Anatidae. The record is from RefSeq and is a predicted model, not a curated record.
UAUUGCUGCACCUCAGCCUUUCCUGUUCUGCAGGAGGGGGUUUGGGCAGCACCACAGGGCUGAUGCAGAGAUGGAAAAUUCCCUCUGUAACCCAAAUGGAUGAGUUCAUGCAAGACAACACUUGCCUACCUGCCGCAUCUGAUUCAAAUGCGCCUCUACCUCAGAUGCAUAUGCUGAUGCUGGCCAGCACAGGCUACAGGAAAAGCUCAUAACUGCUGCACCGAGGCACUUCAUUUAGCCCAUGAAAUUCAUGAGAGAAGCUUCUUUCCCAGUCAAUGGGGAGAUGCAGGCUCCUGCUCUGAGUCAGCUGAUGAAGGAACAUGACUGAAGUGAUCUGAAUUGCCCUCGGCAGGAGCCAACCUGUCUCUGCUGACUGAGGGAGGUGGCUGAGUACCUCCGUAUACAUCUUCAGAGAAGUUGCAGCUUCUAUUAAAAACUGCUUCUUUAGCAAUGUUGAGUCAAGUGCACUCAGCCUCCUCUACAGCAGGCCUCUUCUCCUGCAACUUUAUUCCUCGUAUCAAGCAUAGCUGCAUAAACAAUACAAAAAUACUCUGUCUUGUAGCAAAAA